Molecule: long non-coding RNA, 1035 nt
Filed under: Coturnix japonica (Japanese quail)
Lineage: Eukaryota; Metazoa; Chordata; Aves; Galliformes; Phasianidae
Description: lncRNA (ENSCJPG00005005051.1)
Source: RNAcentral
UGGCUUAGCCGAGGCAUUAAGGAAAUCUCUCAGUGUUGCUGAGUGCUGCUGCUUUCUAGGGUCAAGGAAAUGAAGGACGCAAAUUUUGCGUUAGAGAAACAAAAGGAGAAGAGUAUUGAGAUUUCGGUAAUAUAUGAGGGGAAAAAAAGAAAAAAAAAAAAAAAGAAGAGGCAAAGUCCUAGCUCUCCACCAGCUCUCUGCAAUACCACGCUGCCAUGGAGCACAGCUGAGCCCUGUCAAAACAAUAUCAAUAAGUUCCAAUUGAAGAGCGGAUUCUUUUGCAAUUCAGGCAUGUGCCGGCGAUAACGGGCGAGUUGGCAUGAAGAGAGGCAGAGAUGGAUUAAUUAUGCAGAGAACAUGGAAAUUCUGCUUAUCAUCGGCUAGCAAAGGAGCCCAGCUCACAUAAUCAGCAAACGAAGGGAGAGAAAAAAAUAACAAUGCAAUGGCACCUUCCAGCCCAUCAUCAGGAUUUUUUCUACCCCCUUGUAAUUAAAAAAUAACAUACACUUAUAGCCCUAUCUCCUGUGCAGGCAAGGAGUGGAUGUCCACAAAAUAAUUGCACUGGGAUAUUAGAGCUGGGAACAAGGGCUGUCCAUUCCUACUAUCCCUUACCCUCUCCCUCCCUCUCUCCUCCGGCCUCUCCUAGGCACUUUCUUUCUGUCUGCAUUCUGAAUCAGAUGCGUGUCUCAGGUGACACCCUAUCUCAGUGUCCAUAAGUCCCAAACCUCACUCUUAUCAAGAUUCAAGCAAACAUGUAUAUGAUAAAUAUUUGAAGUGCUGAAGCUGUGGGGUUUUAUCCUGAUCACCUAUGAGCUAUCUACUGAAAAUCAUUUUGAUGAAAACCUUUCCAAACAGUCUCUUUGAGUUACAAAAUAGACUGAUUAGAAGGGGGUUUUGUUGCCAUUCCUAUUUCACUUUUGCUCAGGGAAGAUUAUGUUACCUAUAAAGUGUGGGUUUUUUUCUUAUUCAUCUCAUGCUUCUUUAAAUACAAGGUAAAAAAAUAAAGAAAUGAAACAGAUUUAUUGGUUAGAUGAA